RNAcentral lists this ribosomal RNA (663 nucleotides) under Triticum aestivum (bread wheat). Its description in RNAcentral is "partial small subunit ribosomal RNA". Lineage: Eukaryota; Viridiplantae; Streptophyta; Magnoliopsida; Poales; Poaceae. The record is from RNAcentral.
CCAAACCUCCACCAUCAGGUCGGAUCCAAUCUUUCUUUUUCCAUUCUUUCCAUUCUACGGUAAUUGGUCGAUAGGUCCCCUCGAGCUGAUUCUCCUUUAAUAAUUCCUUCCCUUGAUUGAUUUUGAGGCGGCUUGUUGAUUUCAGAUCGCCCACACAUAUAUAUUGAUGAAAUAUGACUAAAAUAGCGAGGUGGUACUGUCUUUUUCUAAUAUGAAGUCGAAUCCUCUCUGGUUCGCAGGUGGAGAGUUUGAUCCCAGGCGGUGAUGAUUUUAUUUUUGCCUCCUCUGCCUCAGGCAGAGGAACGGAGAGUGGCGGCAAGGGCAGCCGCCGGCGCGAUGACGAGAACCCAGGGGUGGACACACGGGAGAUUGGGUGCUCGCGCGAAGCCUCCUGCAGCACGGUCGCCCACGAGCCCACCCGGAGCUGUCGCCCCCGCUGAAAUGUGCCACCCCGCUGCCCGUGAAAUGCGCCGCCCCGCUGCACUCGAAAGGAAGCUGUCUGGAUAAAGAAAGGAUCGCGGGCUGAAUUCUUACGAACGUAGGGGCAUCUUUGUAAAAAUGAAUCGUUUUUGCAGCUUCACUUAAACGGAGACUGUGGGUUAAUUUAUAAUAAAUCGAGGGACUUUUAUGCAAAAUCACCAGCGACGACGUACGGGCAGAAAC